CAAACUUCAUUGUUCUAUUUCAUCCAUCAAGCCGCUGUAGCUCUUAUCACACCCAAAUUCCGUCGGUUGGGAGUUGGUUAUCACCGUUGUCUGCCAUCCCCAUAGCCACUUACAUGGAAGAACGCAGUAGAUUGUGAGCUUUGAAGAGUGGAAUGGGUUGAAGGUUUGAAGAGUGAAGUGGAUUGAAGCUUUGCUACUUUUCUUUCAUAGUCUUUAAUUGAGAGUGGAUGUAAUUGGGAGUGAAUGCCUUGGUGCUUUAUGUAAAUCUGAAUGUUAUGAAACGAUCAAGAGCUUUAUUUAUUAUUCAAUGUAAUGCCGAAUGUUUCGAAGCUA
Molecule: long non-coding RNA, 333 nt
Organism: Juglans microcarpa x Juglans regia
Lineage: Eukaryota; Viridiplantae; Streptophyta; Magnoliopsida; Fagales; Juglandaceae
Exons: 2
Source: RefSeq, a predicted model, not a curated record